This 228-nucleotide ribosomal RNA is filed under the name uncultured bacterium. RNAcentral's name for it is "partial 16S ribosomal RNA". It matches the Rfam family "Bacterial small subunit ribosomal RNA", at positions 103 to 334 of the family's 1533-position model. The record is from RNAcentral.
CGGGUGAAUAAUGUCUGGGAAACUGCCUGAUGGAGGGGGAUAACUACUGGAAACGGUAGCUAAUACCGCAUAACGUCGCAAGACCAAAGAGGGGGACCUUAGGGCCUCUUGCCAUCGGAUGUGCCCAGAUGGGAUUAGCUAGUAGGUGGGGUAAUGGCUCACCUAGGCGACGAUCCCUAGCUGGUCUGAGAGGAUGACCAGCCACACUGGAACUGAGACACGGUCCAG